Molecule: small nuclear RNA, 107 nt
Filed under: Tupaia belangeri chinensis (Chinese tree shrew)
Lineage: Eukaryota; Metazoa; Chordata; Mammalia; Scandentia; Tupaiidae
Source: RNAcentral
GUGCUCGCUUUGGCAGCGCAUAUACUAAAAUUGGAACGAUACAGAGAAGAUUAGCAUGGCCCCUGCACAAGGAUGACACACAAAUUCGUGAAGCGUUCCAUAUUUUU